Molecule: transfer RNA, 71 nt
Filed under: Schistosoma margrebowiei
Lineage: Eukaryota; Metazoa; Platyhelminthes; Trematoda; Strigeidida; Schistosomatidae
Rfam family: tRNA
About the family: Transfer RNA (tRNA) molecules are approximately 80 nucleotides in length.
Source: Rfam by way of RNAcentral
GGGUCGGUGGUUCAAUAGUAGAAUCCGCACCUGCCACGCGGACGGUCCGGGUUCAAUUCCCGGCCGAUGUA